AAGUCGUAACAAGGUUUCCGUAGGUGAACCUGCGGAAGGAUCAUUAACAACGUAUCCACGUUUUCAACCCAUUGUGAAUUUGUUUUCAACACUAUAUUUUAACGAAUAUUUUACCCCUUUACUUUUGCGAGUUGGCUUUUUUUAUUCUGUUGUGUUAGUGUGUCAAAAGCACUGAUCAACACGUUUUUUAACGUUAAAGAAGCAUAAUUCUGUGCAAUGGAUAUCUAGGUUCUC
RNAcentral lists this unclassified non-coding RNA (234 nucleotides) under fungal sp. RNAcentral describes it as "partial internal transcribed spacer region". The stretch from base 1 to 46 matches the Rfam family "Eukaryotic small subunit ribosomal RNA", at positions 1786 to 1831 of the family's 1831-position model. The record is from RNAcentral. Lineage: Eukaryota; Fungi.